CUCAGGUCACAAGUGAGUACCCCAUCCUCCAGCUGGCUCUCCCGCUGAGGACGGGAGGGUGGACUGGAGUGUCUGCGCCUCACCCGAGGCCCCCACCCCCCAGCCUCCCACUCAGGGGUCGCUCCUCACUGCGGGGUGUGCAUUUGAGCUGGGAUACCUCUCCCGCCACCACUGUAGCCUGUGGCCACUGGGCACUGCCCUCCCUCUGCCCUGCCAGGCACAAAGCUGGAAGGCACCCGCCUUUCUCCCUCCUCUCUCUCUCUGCAGUUGCUAAGUUACACCAAAAAACAAACAAACAAACAAAAAAUCACCACUCGGCUCUGUGUGAACUCGUUCCAUGGCCAUGAUUUGCCAGGUGGAAGGCGGCCAUCAGGCUGACAGCUUGAGGCGCCUCCCGGAGAAAAACAAACUUGAUGGCUGGCUCCAGCCCCUUUGGCAUACCUGGGGUGCAUCUGCAGGGAGAAUGAAAAUGAAUCGAAACUGCACCCUCGCCAUUGUCGCCACCAUCC
RNAcentral lists this long non-coding RNA (509 nucleotides) under Dasypus novemcinctus (nine-banded armadillo). Its description in RNAcentral is "lncRNA (ENSDNOG00000049856.1)". The record is from RNAcentral. Lineage: Eukaryota; Metazoa; Chordata; Mammalia; Cingulata; Dasypodidae.